Long non-coding RNA from Venturia canescens, 914 nucleotides. RefSeq lists it as uncharacterized. The transcript is spliced from 4 exons. NCBI's taxonomy places the organism in Eukaryota, Metazoa, Arthropoda, Insecta, Hymenoptera, Ichneumonidae. The record is from RefSeq and is a predicted model, not a curated record.
CUUCUUAUGAAGCUACUGUCAGGAUUCAUCGUCGAGAUCGAUAUUCCCAUUUUGUCUACGGUUACCGCCAGAAUAACCUUUCAUGAAUUUGCAUUUGGAAAUGACAAAUUUGAAACUCUUACAAGUGCUCUUGGGUUACUUUAAAGAUUCAAUCAGCCUCCGAUGAGAAGAGUUUCCACAAAUCCUUCCCUUGAUACUCAGAUAUCAGGAAGUAUGUCUGGAAGCUCAGGCAGGAGAAAGUCCAUUCUUAGGUCAAAAUCUUGUAUACAAGGAAAGUAGUGAAUCUAUCAAAGCGACAGUAGCGAUGUAUAUGGAUUUUUCAUUGACCGUGGACAUGCUUCUAAAUGUUUUGGAAGUGACCGCACUGUUCAAACACUUCAGUAAACUUAGACAUCUUAUGAAGCUACUGCCAGGAUUCACCGUCGAGAUCGAUAUUCCUAUUUUGUCUACCACCAGAAUAACCUUUCAAGAAUUUGCAUUUGGAAAUGACAAAUUCGAAACUCUUGGAUUACCUUAAAGAUUCAAUCAUUUUUGGAGACUGGGAGUUGCCAGGUGAGGGAGAGCAAGAAACACCGAUUCAAAAAUCUGAGACUUUUUGCAGUUUGAGCUGAAAGAUCGUUUCGAAGAAAUUAAUAGACUCAAAGAAAAAGCGAACGAUGAGGCAGAACAAAAAAGUAUGGCAGAAAUUCUGUCCCAGGUCGAGAUAAUGGGGAAAAAAUUGAAUUUCCUGAAAUUGCAAGAAACCUUAGCAGCAAUCUGGUCGCGACUUUCGCUGAUCCUCAAGGUGCCAGCUUAAAACAAUUGACGUUGCAGAUUCAGCUAUUCAAACAAACGGGUUCGACUAAAGUUGGAGAGGAAAAAACGGCAUUUACUGAAGUGGAUAAAAUUCGCAAACGAAGUCUGGAGUAUUAAAA